CGAGGGGCAGCGGGAAGGUUAGCUUGCUAACCUUCGUCGGCGACCGGCGCACGGGUGAGUAACACGUAUGCAACCUGUCCGGUACAGGGGGAUAAGCGGCGGAAACGCCUCCUAAUACCGCGUGACAACCCGAGGGGGCAUCCCCUUGGGUUCAAAGGAGAGAUCCGGUACCGGCUGGGCAUGCGGCGCAUUAGCUAGUUGGCGGGGCAACGGCCCACCAAGGCGACGAUGCGUAGGGGUUCUGAGAGGAAGGUCCCCCACACUGGAACUGAGACACGGUCCAGACUCCUACGGGAGGCAGCAGUGAGGAAUAUUGGUCAAUGGGCGCAAGCCUGAACCAGCCAAGUCGCGUGAGGGAAGACGGCCCUACGGGUUGUAAACCUCUUUUGCCGGGGAACAAGCCUGAGCACGUGUACCCAGGCGGAAAAAAACCGGAGAAAAAGCAUCGGCUAACUCCGUGCCAGCAGCCGCGGUAAUACGGAGGAUGCGAGCGUUAUCCGGAUUUAUUGGGUUUAAAGGGUGCGCAGGCGGGCUGUUAAGCCGGCGGUAAAAAUUCAGGGCUCAACCCUGUCGAGCCGUCGGAACUGGCAGUCUUGAGUGGGCGAGAAGUAUGCGGAAUGCGUGGUGUAGCGGUGAAAUGCAUA
This 644-nucleotide ribosomal RNA is filed under the name uncultured bacterium. RNAcentral describes it as "bacterial SSU rRNA". It matches the Rfam family "Bacterial small subunit ribosomal RNA", at positions 63 to 692 of the family's 1533-position model. The record is from RNAcentral.